This 268-nucleotide unclassified non-coding RNA is filed under the name plant metagenome. RNAcentral's name for it is "partial contains small subunit ribosomal RNA, internal transcribed spacer 1, and 5.8S ribosomal RNA". The stretch from base 1 to 53 matches the Rfam family "Eukaryotic small subunit ribosomal RNA", at positions 1778 to 1831 of the family's 1831-position model. The record is from RNAcentral.
GGAAGUAAAGUCGUAACAAGGUCUCCGUUGGUGAACCAGCGGAGGGAUCAUUACAAGAAGCCGAAAGGCUACUUAAAACCAUCGCGAACUAUUCCAAGUUGCUUCGGCGGUGCGGCUCUCCCCCCCGGGGGUCCGCCGCGUGCGCCGCCUCCUCCCCCGGGAGCUGGCGGGGCGCCCGCCGGAGGUCACAAACUCUCAUGUAUUACAGUGGAUCUCCGAGUGAAAAACAAAUAAGUUAAAACUUUCAACAACGGAUCUCUUGGUUCUG